RNAcentral lists this ribosomal RNA (173 nucleotides) under [Auxarthron] kuehnii. RNAcentral's name for it is "Auxarthron kuehnii 5.8S ribosomal RNA". The stretch from base 1 to 154 matches the Rfam family "5.8S ribosomal RNA". Rfam says of the family: 5.8S ribosomal RNA (5.8S rRNA) is a component of the large subunit of the eukaryotic ribosome. It is transcribed by RNA polymerase I as part of the 45S precursor that also contains 18S and 28S rRNA. Functionally, it is thought that 5.8S rRNA may be involved in ribosome translocation. The record is from RNAcentral. Lineage: Eukaryota; Fungi; Ascomycota; Eurotiomycetes; Onygenales; Malbrancheaceae.
AACUUUCAACAAUGGAUCUCUUGGUUCCGGCAUCGAUGAAGAACGCAGCGAAAUGCGAUAAGUAAUGUGAAUUGCAGAAUUCCGUGAAUCAUCGAAUCUUUGAACGCACAUUGCGCCCCUCGGUAUUCCGGGGGGCAUGCCUGUCCGAGCGUCAUUGCAACCUUCAAGCGCGG